CUCAGUGCCGCUGUGGAGCCAGGGCCAGUGCGGGGACCCCUGGGUGGCUCUGCGUGCGUGGGCUGGGGGACGGGGACCCAGCGCGGGGGGCUGGUGGAGGGGCCCAGCGGGACCGUGCUGGCCAGCUGGCCCCCGGCUCCCCGCACACUGGCCUCGGCUGUCCCCACCGCCACCGCCGCUCCCGGCACGGGGCGCAGGGCGAUGGUGGACAUGGUUGGCCGGGGGCUGGCGGUCCCCACAAGGGACGGGCCGUGGCCUGGCCUGGCCGGCCCCGGGGAGCCCGGACCCACAUCUGUGGGCRCCGUAGAGGGCAUCCGGGUCUCGAUCCGGUGUCCGGCCUGGCCCUUGGCCUCCCGUCCUCGCCAGGCGAUGAAGGGCUCCUCCACCACGUCCAGGGCCGGGUCGCCGUCCCUCCAGGCCCCAGUGCCAGCGCUCACCAGGGUGGCCACCGUCCCCAGCGCCUGCAGGGGGUCAUCAGCCCCCCGGGGCCAUGGCGGCACGGGCACCUCGGUCACAGCCCCCAGCAGCGGUGGYGGUCGGGACCACCGUGCGGGGCCAGCGUCCCCCCAGCGCUCGCUGUCCRGGUCCCCGGCGCCGCUGAGCUCCCCCGACGUGUCCUGGAGCRGGGGGCGGCCGGCCGCAGCGGGGACCCCGGCAGCCAGGAGCAGCCCGCAGGCGACGAGCCGCGCGGUGGCCAUGGCGAGCRCCCAGCCUGCCCUCGGCCCUGCGGGAACAGCGGGGCGGGGGGUGAGCGGGCCCCCACCACCACCGGAGCCGGGGAGGCGCCUGCACGCAGGCAGCCGUGCGCGGAGGCCGGCAGUYGCGCUGUUCCCACGCACGCGGCGCCCUGAGUCACCGUGGGCACCGCGUCGCCCCGCCAUCGCCCCACGGGCACGCGGCACCUGGCGCCUCCGCGCCACCAGCGGGACUCGGGGGGCUCUGAGCCAAACCCCCGCGGCCCCCGGCAGGGCCCAGGUGCCCAGGCAGCCGAGCAGGGGCCCACGCAACCCGCUGCCCAGCACGGCUGGGGAUGGGAGCCGGUGGCCGUGCUGUCCCUCCUCCCGGCUCUCCYCGCUGCCUCUUCCCAGCUGUCCCCGUCCCCAGCUGUCCCUGGCUCGGGCCCCGUCCCUGUUCCCCGGUGCCCGGUGGCCCGUUCCCAGCUGCCGCUGAUGCUAGCGGUCCCCGGUCCCAGCCGUCGCCAUCCCGUGUCCCUGGUGCCNNNNNNNNNNNNNN
Molecule: long non-coding RNA, 1233 nt
Filed under: Apteryx haastii (Great spotted kiwi)
Lineage: Eukaryota; Metazoa; Chordata; Aves; Apterygiformes; Apterygidae
Description: lncRNA (ENSAHAG00000014323.1)
Source: RNAcentral